GAUGAACGCUGGCGGCGUGCCUAAUACAUGCCAGUCGAGCGAACAGACGAGGAGCUUUCUCCUUUGCCGUUAGCGGCGGACGGGUGAGUGACACGUGGAUAACAUACCUCUAUGACUGGGGUAACUUCGUGAAACCGGAGCUAAUACCGCAUAACAUGUCGAACCGCAUGGUUCAAGAGUGAUAGACGGUCUUCCCGACACUUAUAGAUGGAUUCGCGCCGCAUUAGCUAGUUGGUAAGGUAACGGCCUACCAAGGCAACGAUGCGUAGCCGACCUGAUAGGGUGAUCGGCCACACUGGAACUGAGACACGGUCCAGACUCCUACGGGAGGCAGCAGUGGGGAAUCUUCCGCAAUGGGCGAAAGCCUGACGGAGCAACGCCGCGUGGGUGAAGAAGGCCUUCGGAUCGUAAAACUCUUUUAUUAGGAAAGAACAACUGUGUGAGAAACUAUGCACGUCUUGACGGUACCUAAACAGAAAGCCACGGCUAACUACGUG
Molecule: ribosomal RNA, 497 nt
Filed under: uncultured bacterium
Lineage: Bacteria
Description: partial 16S ribosomal RNA
Rfam family: Bacterial small subunit ribosomal RNA
Source: RNAcentral